AAAAAAAAAAAGGGAAAAAAAUUAAGGCAUUCUCAGAACAAGAUUUAUAGUGGACUCAGUGGAUCACCUGCCUCAGAAUAUCCUCAGAUGUUAGUGUUAAAUGUGAAUUUCUCUGACUUCCUGAAUCUGAAGGAGGGUGAGGGCUGGGAAUCUGCACUUAUUUAACAAGCUUCCAGGUGAUUCCGGCUCACUCUCACGUUUGAUGACCACCACACCUGGUGAGUAGUCUCUAGACUUUUUAUCAUGAAGCACCAGUAUAUGCAUUUUACGUGUUCAUUUCUUUACUUAUAAGUUAGUAAUGCAUAGAUGAUGGUUCUAAUGUGUUGUGUAUAUUAUAAAGUGUUCACAAAAGUAGAAAAUUUGCAAGGAUGAGAAAUCAUGCACAUUAAAGUUUAUGUAUGAGCUUCCCACGCCACGUUUUGGAUGAGAGGGUGAGGGUAAUUCAUGCAGGUGAAAUGUUAUUUAACUGAUCCUCAGGGUGAUUGUUAUGGCACAACACUCAUUUUCUCAAGUUUAUGACUCCAACGUCAAUGGGCAUGAGACAGCAUGAUUUUCUGUAGAGGUUUUAUUUCUGUUUCAGUAGUACCACUGGGCAUUCUCGCUCUGCUUCCCCACAAAAUUCACACUUGGUGCUCAAGAAAGUUGUCAUAUUUACCCUCCUCCCCAACCUGAUGUCCCGAGUGCAAAUUCUAGGUGGGAAACCAAGUGUAGACUGGUCAGUGUGUUGGUAUACAGCCCGGCAAUGCCCAGGUAAUACAUACACACACAUACACACACUCCUGAGGCUGCUUUCAGACUGGAAAGGCUGCAAAAUUGUCUCCUAGGAAACCCUGCCUACAGAAAGUUUUAAAGUUAAUGAUUUGACUCUAAAUCUGGCUCUUAACCUCUCUGGGGUCAUGGGUCUCUUUGAGAAUCUGAUGACAUCUAUGAGCUUUCUCUCCAGGGCAGGGGAAAAAAAUACUCAUCCCACUACAUGUACCAUUUCAGAGGGCGUGAACACUUUGGGAGUUCUUGACGUGUGGAGUCUGAGCCAGCAACAUCAACAUUUCCUGGGAACUUACUUGAGCUGCCCCACGCCCAAACCUACUGAAUCAGAAACUUUGGGGUGGGAAUAAGCCCUCCAGGUAUUUUUGAUGAAUACUCAAGUUUGGGAACACUCCAGAGCCGAAGUUCUCAAACUGGCCUCCUUAUUAGAAUCACCUGGUGCUUUUUUUUUUUUUUUUAAAGGACUGAUGCCUGGGCUCCAAUCUCCUUUAAUUAAAUCAGCAUCUCUGGAGGUGGAUCCUGAACAUAGGGAUUUUUAAAAGCUCUCCAAAGGAGCUAAGCUCUGUGGACCAAGGUAUUAAUAACCCAGGCUACUUCUGACGAUCCCCCAACUAGAGCCUAAAAGCACUAGAGAAGAACUUCGCCACAGCCUGACUCAUCACUUUCACUUACACACUGAGAAGCUUUUCCAAGGCUGCACGGUUACUGAACGUCUAGGCAGCCAGUUCUCCCUCUUCCCCCGUUCCAGGAAGUGCCACACACUGCAAGAGUGAACCCCAAACACUUCUGAAGAAGCCUGGCCAGCAAAGACACACGUAUUGAAAAGUGGCCUAGACCGGGGCAUUUUCAGCUACAGAUCAUUGACAUCAGCUUCCAGUGGUUUUUCCUCUUUGGCUUAACUCUGCUGUUCAUUGAACUCAGUUCAGUAAGCUUUCAUCAGAAGAAGGUUAACCUUGAUCUGGCCGGUGGAAAGCAGCAGAGCUGAAGUGGGGCGGUGGGACAGCCUUUCCGAUGAGACUGGGACCUAUGAGAAGAGACGUGGGAGAU
RNAcentral lists this long non-coding RNA (1812 nucleotides) under Lynx pardinus (Iberian lynx). Lineage: Eukaryota; Metazoa; Chordata; Mammalia; Carnivora; Felidae. The record is from RNAcentral.